UGCCAUCCAUAGCGGAGGAAAAGAAACUAACAAGGAUUCCCCUAGUAACGGCGAGUGAAGCGGGAAGAGCUCAAAUUUGAAAUCUGGCAGUCUUCGAUUGUCCGAGUUGUAAUCUAUAGAGGCGUUUUCCGUGCCGGACCGUGUCCAAGUCUCCUGGAAAGGAGUAUCAAAGAGGGUGAUAAUCCCGUACUUAACACGACCACCGGUGCUCUGUGAUACGUCUUCUACGAGUCGAGUUGUUUGGGAAUGCAGCUCAAAAUGGGUGGUGAAUUCCAUCUAAAGCUAAAUAUUGGCGAGAGACCGAUAGCGAACAAGUACCGUGAGGGAAAGAUGAAAAGCACUUUGGAAAGAGAGUUAAACAGUACGUGAAAUUGUUGAAAGGGAAACGAUUGAAGUCAGUCGUGUUCUUUGGAUUCAGCCAGUUCUGCUGGUCUACUUCCUUUGAACGGGUCAACAUCAGUUUUGUCCGGUGGAUAAAGGUAGUAGGAAUGUGACUUCCCCGGAAGUGUUAUAGCCUAUUAUCACAUACACUGGGUGAGACUGAGGACUGCAGCUCGCCUUUAUGGCCGACCUUCGGGUACGUUCGAGCUUAGGAUGUUGACAUAAUGGCUUUAAACACCCGUUUGAAACA
RNAcentral lists this ribosomal RNA (631 nucleotides) under Trichosporon asahii var. asahii. Its description in RNAcentral is "LSU rRNA". It matches the Rfam family "Eukaryotic large subunit ribosomal RNA", at positions 37 to 661 of the family's 3401-position model. Lineage: Eukaryota; Fungi; Basidiomycota; Tremellomycetes; Trichosporonales; Trichosporonaceae. The record is from RNAcentral.